GACGAACGCUGGCGGCGUGCUUAACACAUGCAAGUCGAACGGAAAGGCCCCUUUGGGGGUACUCGAGUGGCGAACGGGUGAGUAACACGUGAGUAACCUGCCCUUGACUUCGGGAUAACUUCAGGAAACUGGGGCUAAUACCGGAUAGGAAUCCUUGCUGCAUGGUGGGGGUUGGAAAGCUUCGGCGGUUUUGGAUGGACUCGCGGCUUAUCAGCUUGUUGGUGGGGUAGUGGCUUACCAAGGCUUUGACGGGUAGCCGGCCUGAGAGGGCGACCGGCCACAUUGCGACUGAGAUACGGCCCAGACUCCUACGGGAGGCAGCAGUGGGGAAUAUUGCACAAUGGGCGGAAGCCUGAUGCAGCAACGCCGCGUGCGGGAGGACGGCCUUCGGGUUGUAAACCGCUUUCAGCAGGGGCGAAGCUUGUGGUGACGGUACCUGCAGAAGAAGCACCGGCUAACUACGUG
RNAcentral lists this ribosomal RNA (465 nucleotides) under uncultured bacterium. RNAcentral's name for it is "partial 16S ribosomal RNA". It matches the Rfam family "Bacterial small subunit ribosomal RNA", at positions 28 to 507 of the family's 1533-position model. The record is from RNAcentral.